RNAcentral lists this ribosomal RNA (358 nucleotides) under Hyalomma asiaticum asiaticum. RNAcentral describes it as "partial large subunit ribosomal RNA". The record is from RNAcentral. Lineage: Eukaryota; Metazoa; Arthropoda; Arachnida; Ixodida; Ixodidae.
AUAAGAUUUUAAUUGAAUGCUAAAAGAAUGGAAGUUUAAAAAAAUUCUUUUUUAAAAUUAAAAAUUGAAUUUUUUUUAAUUUGUGAAUAAACAAUUAUAAAAAUUAAAGACAAGAAGACCCUAAGAAUUUGAAGAUCAAAUAAAUAAAAAAUUUUUUAUUUAUUUGAUCUUGAUUGGGGCGAUCAAAAAAUAUUAAUAACUUUUUAAAUUAAAAUGAUCUAUUAAUAAUAAACUAAUGAAAUAAAUACUCUAGGGAUAACAGCGUAAUAAUUUUUGAUAGAUCUUAUAGACAAAAUAGUUUGCGACCUCGAUGUUGGAUUAGGAUUCUUAUUUAAUGAAGAUGUUAAAUAAAGAAGUU